Mesocricetus auratus (golden hamster) is the source of this 291-nucleotide long non-coding RNA. RefSeq lists it as uncharacterized. The record is from RefSeq and is a predicted model, not a curated record. The transcript is spliced from 3 exons. NCBI's taxonomy places the organism in Eukaryota, Metazoa, Chordata, Mammalia, Rodentia, Cricetidae.
GCCCUGAUGCAAGCCAGAGAUGCUGGGCUUCCAGCCCUCCUGCUGCAUCCACACGAGGUUCUCUUCAUCCUCUCUGAGUGACUGGAAGUUUGAUAUCCUUGAACUUACCUCCUUCAGUUGGGACAACAAGUGUAUCCUCAAACUUGGCUUCACUAAAUGGAUGCUGUCUUCUGGGGAAGAAGCGUUCUUCUCCCCUAGCUCACGUUCUCCCUUUUUCAUUUCUGACUGCCAUGUGUCCACAGAAGUCAGAAGUAUCAGAUCCUCUGGAACCGGAGUUACAGAUGAUUCUGG